AAUGAACGCUGGCGGCGUGCCUAACACAUGCAAGUCGAGCGAUCUCUUCGGAGAGAGCGGCGGACGGGUGAGUAACGCGUGGGUAGCCUGCCCUGUACACACGGAUAACAUACCGAAAGGUAUACUCAUAAGGGAUAACAUACGAAAGUCGCAUGGCUUUUGUAUCAAAGCUCCGGCGGUACAGGAUGGACCCGAGUCUGAUUAGCUAGUUGGUAAGGUAAUGGCUUACCAAGGCAACGAUCACUAGCCGACCUGAGAGGGUGAUCGGCCACACUGGAACUGAGACACGGUCCAGACUCCUACGGGGAGGCAGCAGUGGGGAAUAUUGCACAAUGGGCGAAAGCCUGAUGCAGCAACGCCGCGUGAGCGAUGAAGGCCUUCGGGUCGUAAAGCUCUGUCCUCAAGGAAGAUAAUGACGGUACUUGAGGAGGAAGCCCCGGCUAACUACGUGCCAGCAGCCGCCGUAA
RNAcentral lists this ribosomal RNA (467 nucleotides) under uncultured bacterium. RNAcentral's name for it is "partial 16S ribosomal RNA". It matches the Rfam family "Bacterial small subunit ribosomal RNA", at positions 29 to 523 of the family's 1533-position model. The record is from RNAcentral.